RNAcentral lists this ribosomal RNA (253 nucleotides) under uncultured bacterium. RNAcentral's name for it is "partial 16S ribosomal RNA". It matches the Rfam family "Bacterial small subunit ribosomal RNA", at positions 524 to 776 of the family's 1533-position model. The record is from RNAcentral.
UACGUAGGGUGCAAGCGUUGUCCGGAAUUAUUGGGCGUAAAGAGCUCGUAGGCGGUUUGUCGCGUCUGCUGUGAAAACCCGAGGCUCAACCUCGGGCCUGCAGUGGGUACGGGCAGACUAGAGUGCGGUAGGGGAGAUUGGAAUUCCUGGUGUAGCGGUGAAAUGCGCAGAUAUCAGGAGGAACACCGAUUGCGAAGGCAGCUCGCUGGAACGUUACUGACGCUGAGACGCGAAAGCGUGGGGAGCAAACAGG